Molecule: non-coding RNA, 113 nt
Organism: Acanthosepion pharaonis
Lineage: Eukaryota; Metazoa; Mollusca; Cephalopoda; Sepiida; Sepiidae
Source: the annotation of a GenBank genome assembly
UUACGGCCACACCACGUUGAAACGACGGUUCCUGUACGAUCACUGAAGUUAAGCAACGUCGAGCCUGGUCAGUACCUGGAUGGGUGACCGCUUGAGAAUACCAGGUGCUGUAA